RNAcentral lists this long non-coding RNA (2308 nucleotides) under Olea europaea subsp. europaea. Lineage: Eukaryota; Viridiplantae; Streptophyta; Magnoliopsida; Lamiales; Oleaceae. The record is from RNAcentral.
GUCACGACUUAUACUGAAACAAUUCUGCAUUUUCCAUACUGAGAAGAUUGGAGUUUAAGUGCAUCACGUCUAAAACGCGUGUUUGGUUGAAACUGUAGAAAUAGGAGGGAGAGUUAUAACAGAAAAAAAUCCGGGGUCACGCAAUUAAUCAUUACUCUGAUAUUCAACUACCCUCCCUCCACAGCCCUCUCUUCGGCAGUGAAAUUCGCGGUCAAGUAAAAACAUUGUCAGUGUCAGAAUCUAGAGAGAGAGAAUAUUUCCAUCCAGCGGAUCGGUGAUGGCUUCUUCCUCAGAUCGCGAAACCUUCGUUUACCUUGCCAAGCUCGCCGAGCAAGCCGAACGCUACGAUGGUAAAUCACUCACCCUCGCACAAUUUUUUGGAGAAAUUGAACUUGUGUUAGCCAAUAUCUUGUUCGAGAUACGGACCGAUGAUUAAUUACUAAUUAGAAGGGGCUAAGUUGCAAUCAGCCUUUUAAUUUCGCUUUGUAAGUUAGUAUUUGACUUGAGCUUUAAGGAAUUCAUUAAUUUUUUACUGUAUGUGAUAUAUUCUAAUUUUAAUUAUUCUUUUUGUUAGAAUUGAGAUUUUUCGUAGCUUCUAUUGAACGAAUUAUUUGAAAUCUUUCAAUAUUUUUUUCUUCAAUUUGCUUGUGUCUUUGGUGAUUCAAAUAGUUUAUUAGACAAUUGGAUUUCAUUUUUCUCGUAUCUUGUGAAUAUUGCAUUUUCAUUUGUUGUGUAAUCAAUACAGAAUGAAAAAUAAGCACAAAUCUGAUUUUCUUACAGAGAUGGUGGAAGCGAUGAAGAAGGUGGCAAAGAUGGAUGUGGAGUUGACAGUGGAGGAGAGGAACUUGCUGUCGGUGGGGUACAAGAAUGUGAUUGGGGCUCGGAGAGCUUCAUGGAGAAUCUUAUCUUCGAUAGAACAGAAGGAGGAAUCCAGAGGCAAUGAGCAGAAUGCUAAGCGGAUCAAGGAGUACCAGCAGAAGGUGGAGUCAGAGCUCACCAACAUUUGCAGUGACAUCAUGACUGUCAUCAAUGAGCAUCUCAUUCCUUCAUGUACAGCUGGCGAGUCGACCGUGUUUUACUACAAGAUGUGAGAAUGGUCUUACCCCUCAGUUAUGUUUGAGUGUGACUUUUUGUUUUAUUAGGAGGUUGAAUGGUUUCUGUUGUUUGCAGGAAAGGGGAUUAUUAUAGGUAUCUUGCAGAGUUUAAGACUGGUAAUGAGAGGAAAGAAGUUGCUGAUCAGUCACUGAAGGCAUAUGAGGUAUAUUCUUAAUGUUUUGGGAAUCCAUAAAGCAUAUUGCUUGAGUUCUAUUAUCAGGUAACGUAUUCCACCCGACUUGAUAUAUUGACUGAAAUCCUUUCUUCAAGAAUGCAUAGAAGACUGGAUGGGCAGGACAUAAAUUUGUCUUGGUGGAGAGACAUCAUGUUUGUGGCUCUCGAUGUGUGCCUGACUGUGGUACUUAGGUUUUAUUCAUCUAACAGGAAUUCUAAUUUGUCCUCCAUUCCCUUUAAAGAUAUCGCAAGAGACAUUAUUAAGUUAGGGAAACAAGAAUAGGUCUUAGAAGCAUAUAGGAAUCUUUGCCCAAGAAAGUUGAAAUUCACUAUGUGCCGCUAUCAGUGUUGCAGUGUUGAUCACUCUAUAAAAAUACGUUCACCCAGCUCGUAGUGAUACUAAAGGACAAUAGCAUUAAUUUUAUUUAGUGUAGAGGAAGUAUCUACUGCUUAAGGAUUUGUGCAAAGGCAAGGAUGUGGUGCUUCUUCUCAUCUUUCAGAAAGCUAUUAAAUUUCAUUGCACAAGAUGAUAAAUGUAUUCCAAAUGUUUGACUCAAAAUUACAGAGGUGUACUUGCUUGUAUUUUCCUUAUCAUUCUCAUUCCUUGACUUCUCGAGUUGAUUUGCCUCCGAGCUCAUGAUUUACCACUUUACAUGUCUUGAAAAUUGGGAACCCUGGAUCUUAAUUUGGUAGAGUAGCUUCAUUGCUUCUAUGAUAGUGUUACUUUUGCAUUGUUUGAAAAGAAUUCAGUGAAGCCAUAUAUCAACUUUUUUGGGAGCGUUUUAGGAGCUCUGGCUUUGUGGAUAUCUUAAUGAACUUUCUUCAUUGUUUAGUGAUAUCAAUUUACUCUGAGUCUCUGUCAGUGUGCGUGGGCGUUUUUGUGCAUGCACAUACUUACUUGUACUUCUGGAAUCUGCUUGCAGACAGCGACCACCACAGCCGAGACUGAGUUGCCUCCGACACAUCCCAUUCGUUUGGGUUUGGCAUUGAAUUUUUCUGUCUUUUACUAUGAAAUUAUGAAUUCACCCGAGAGGUUUGU